RNAcentral lists this unclassified non-coding RNA (380 nucleotides) under fungal sp. RNAcentral's name for it is "partial internal transcribed spacer region". Lineage: Eukaryota; Fungi. The record is from RNAcentral.
AAGUCGUAACAAGGGUUCCGUAGAUGAACCUGCGGAAGGAUCAUUAACACGUAUCCAACGUUAAAACAACCCUGUGAACCUUCAAUCUUGCUCGCGUGGCUCCUUGAAAGCGGCAAUCCCUGGUAAAUCAUUGUCGACCAGAUUUGAGUCAGGGACCUCUGCCGAUGAGUUACGCUCGUUGCGAUGCAAGCGACCAAGCAAUCCGAGUUCUGAAAGCGUCUUUGAUUGUGUAAGGGUUGCGCAAACACGAUCGUUGGAGACCGACACGGCCGACGACCGGGUCCCUGGGUCACCAUGCCCCUUAAUCACCGCACUGUAACGCCUACAGGUCGCGACCGCAAAAAACCGGACAGCUGUUAACAAUGGAUAUCUUCGUUCUC